RNAcentral lists this ribosomal RNA (281 nucleotides) under Ericaria crinita. RNAcentral's name for it is "partial large subunit ribosomal RNA". Lineage: Eukaryota; Phaeophyceae; Fucales; Sargassaceae. The record is from RNAcentral.
AAAAGUUAUAGUGUAAACUAUGGUGAAGAUAUCGGAAGCGAGAAUACUUGCAUGAGUAGCAUAAAACAACGAUAAACGUUGUGGCCGUAAGUCUAAGGUUUCCGAUCUAAAGUAAAGCUGGGUUGGCAAAAGCAUUUGCUAAAAAAAAAACGGUCCCUAAGCUGUCAAGCCAAAGCUUGCGGUAAUGGGUAAGAUUACACUGUGAGAAGUAACUGACGAAAAAUUCACUUUAUUUUUAUAUAAAUAUAAAAGUAAAUUAUUUUUUCCAAGAAAAAGGUUCU